RNAcentral lists this ribosomal RNA (552 nucleotides) under uncultured eukaryote. Its description in RNAcentral is "SSU rRNA". It matches the Rfam family "Eukaryotic small subunit ribosomal RNA", at positions 21 to 575 of the family's 1831-position model. The record is from RNAcentral.
UAGUCAUAUGCUUGUCUCAAAGAUUAAGCCAUGCAUGUCUAAGUAUAAGCAACUUGUACUGUGAAACUGCGAAUGGCUCAUUAAAUCAGUUAUCGUUUAUUUGAUAGUACCUUACUACAUGGAUACCUGUGGUAAUUCUAGAGCUAAUACAUGCUAAAAACCCCGACUUCAGGAAGGGGUGUAUUUAUUAGAUAAAAAACCAACGCCCUUCGGGGCUCCUUGGUGAAUCAUAAUAACUUAACGAAUCGCAUGGCCUUGCGCCGGCGAUGGUUCAUUCAAAUUUCUGCCCUAUCAACUUUCGAUGGUAGGAUAGUGGCCUACCAUGGUGGCAACGGGUAACGGGGAAUUAGGGUUCGAUUCCGGAGAGGGAGCCUGAGAAACGGCUACCACGUCCAAGGAAGGCAGCAGGCGCGCAAAUUACCCAAUCCCGAUACGGGGAGGUAGUGACAAUAAAUACUGAUACGGGGCUCUUUUGGGUCUCGUAAUUGGAAUGAGAACAAUUUAAAUCCCUUAACGAGGAACAAUUGGGGGGCAAGUCUGGUGCCAGCAGCC